CCUACGGGAGGCAGCAGUGGGGAAUUUUGGACAAUGGGCGAAAGCCUGAUCCAGCAAUGCCGCGUGUGGGAAGAAGGCCUUCGGGUUGUAAACCACUUUUGUACGGAACGAAACGGUUCGCUUUAAUACAGUGGGCUAAUGACGGUACCGUAAGAAUAAGCACCGGCUAACUACGUGCCAGCAGCCGCGGCAAUACGUAGGGUGCGAGCGUUAAUCGGAAUUACUGGGCGUAAAGCGUGCGCAGGCGGUUAUAUAAGACAGUUGUGAAAUCCCCGGGCUCAACCUGGGAAUUGCAUCUGUGACUGUAUAGCUAGAGUACGGUAGGGGGGGAUGGAAUUCCGCGUGUAGCAGUGAAAUGCGUAGAUAUGCGGAGGAACACCGAUGGCGAAGGCAAUCCCCUGGACCUGUACUGACGCUCAUGCACGAAAGCGUGGGGAGCAAACAGGAUUAGAUACCCUGGUAGUCCACGCCCUAAACGAUGUCAACUGGUUGUUGGGUGCAUUAGUACUCAGUAACGAACUAACGCGUGAAGUUGACCGCCUGGGGAGUACGGCCGCAAGGUUGAAACUCAAAUGAAUUGACCGGNNGAGAGNGCGAGACGACGACGAGGGAGAGG
Molecule: ribosomal RNA, 616 nt
Filed under: uncultured bacterium
Lineage: Bacteria
Description: bacterial SSU rRNA
Rfam family: Bacterial small subunit ribosomal RNA
Source: RNAcentral